AUUGAACGCUGGCGGCAGGCCUAACACAUGCAAGUCGAACGGUAACAGGAAGCAGCUUGCUGCUUCGCUGACGAGUGGCGGACGGGUGAGUAAUGUCUGGGAAACUGCCUGAUGGAGGGGGAUAACUACUGGAAACGGUAGCUAAUACCGCAUAACGUCGCAAGACCAAAGAGGGGGACCUUAGGGCCUCUUGCCAUCGGAUGUGCCCAGAUGGGAUUAGCUAGUAGGUGGGGUAACGCCUCACCUAGGCGACGAUCCCUAGCUGGUCUGAGAGGAUGACCAGCCACACUGGAACUGAGACACGGUCCAGACUCCUACGGGAGGCAGCAGUGGGGAAUAUUGCACAAUGGGCGCAAGCCUGAUGCAGCCAUGCCGCGUGUAUGAAGAAGGCCUUCGGGUUGUAAAGUACUUUCAGCGGGGAGGAAGGGAGUAAAGUUAAUACCUUUGCUCAUUGACGUUACCCGCAGAAGAAGCACCGGCUAACUCCGUG
Molecule: ribosomal RNA, 490 nt
Filed under: uncultured bacterium
Lineage: Bacteria
Description: partial 16S ribosomal RNA
Rfam family: Bacterial small subunit ribosomal RNA
Source: RNAcentral